GACGAACGCUGGCGGCGUGCUUAACACAUGCAAGUCGAACGGAAAGGCCCUGCUUUUGUGGGGUGCUCGAGUGGCGAACGGGUGAGUAACACGUGAGUAACCUGCCCUUGACUUUGGGAUAACUUCAGGAAACUGGGGCUAAUACCGGAUAGGAGCUCCUGCUGCAUGGUGGGGGUUGGAAAGUUUCGGCGGUUGGGGAUGGACUCGCGGCUUAUCAGCUUGUUGGUGGGGUAGUGGCUUACCAAGGCUUUGACGGGUAGCCGGCCUGGGAGGGUGACCGGCCACAUUGGGACUGGGAUACGGCCCAGACUCCUACGGGAGGCAGCAGUGGGGAAUAUUGCACAAUGGGCGGAAGCCUGAUGCGGCAACGCCGCGUGCGGGAUGACGGCCUUCGGGUUGUAAACCGCUUUCGCCUGUGACGAAGCGUGAGUGACGGUAAUGGGUAAAGAAGCACCGGCUAACUACGUG
This 468-nucleotide ribosomal RNA is filed under the name uncultured bacterium. Its description in RNAcentral is "partial 16S ribosomal RNA". It matches the Rfam family "Bacterial small subunit ribosomal RNA", at positions 28 to 507 of the family's 1533-position model. The record is from RNAcentral.